Molecule: ribosomal RNA, 465 nt
Filed under: Vreelandella stevensii
Lineage: Bacteria; Pseudomonadati; Pseudomonadota; Gammaproteobacteria; Oceanospirillales; Halomonadaceae
Description: partial 16S ribosomal RNA
Rfam family: Bacterial small subunit ribosomal RNA
Source: RNAcentral
CCUACGGGGGGCAGCAGUGGGGAAUAUUGGACAAUGGGGGGAACCCUGAUCCAGCCAUGCCGCGUGUGUGAAGAAGGCCCUCGGGUUGUAAAGCACUUUCAGUGAGGAAGAACGCCUGGUGGUUAAUACCCAUCAGGAAAGACAUCACUCACAGAAGAAGCACCGGCUAACUCCGUGCCAGCAGCCGCGGUAAUACGGAGGGUGCGAGCGUUAAUCGGAAUUACUGGGCGUAAAGCGCGCGUAGGUGGCUUGAUAAGCCGGUUGUGAAAGCCCCGGGCUCAACCUGGGAACGGCAUCCGGAACUGUCAAGCUAGAGUGCAGGAGAGGAAGGUAGAAUUACCGGUGUAGCGGUGAAAUGCGUAGAGAUCGGGAGGAAUACCAGUGGCGAAGGCGGCCUUCUGGACUGACACUGACACUGAGGUGCGAAAGCGUGGGUAGCAAACAGGAUUAGAUACCCGAGUAGUC